RNAcentral lists this ribosomal RNA (309 nucleotides) under Triticum aestivum (bread wheat). Its description in RNAcentral is "partial small subunit ribosomal RNA". The record is from RNAcentral. Lineage: Eukaryota; Viridiplantae; Streptophyta; Magnoliopsida; Poales; Poaceae.
AUGAAAAGGGACCUGAUGGACACUGGAGGUGUCACUCAUGGCUCUUCUCUACCCAAGCUCACCUCUGGGAUGCGCAAGACUGGUUACCAGAGUCCAGACAUCUCAAGGCAGGGGGUUUCGUCAACUAAAAAAGAGAGCCUGUCAAACACAAGCCCUGCAUCGCCUCUUGACUGGCCUGGCACACCAACCCAACCUCUCAAGAAGAUGAAGAGGGGGAUCCUGGAGCAGAUCAAGGAGGUUCGCCUGAUGGUUGCUGCAGAAGACAAAUGGAUGCUGGCUAAUUCUUGCUGCGGCAGCUCUGCCCUCUAG